Molecule: long non-coding RNA, 307 nt
Filed under: Homo sapiens (human)
Lineage: Eukaryota; Metazoa; Chordata; Mammalia; Primates; Hominidae
Description: non-protein coding lnc-EVX1-16:1
Source: RNAcentral
CCUCAGCCUCCUGAGUAGAAGGGCUUGCAGGCACACACCACAACACUUGGCUCAGCUGGGUUUUGAAGGAUAAGUAGAUAUUUUCCCAUAUCAUUGAGAGCAAGAAGAUUCUAGGUUUUAGGAGAAAUGCUGAAAGGGCCUGUAAGGCUGGGCUCUGAUGUGUUUGCACGCAUGCAUGUGUGUGUGUAUGUAUGUGGUGGGAGGAGCCAGAGGGGUCAUUGCUCAAGGUGGCUAAAUGUGGCACGUGUAGACCAUCAGCAAUUCCACAUCCCACAAGGAAAGUUCUGAUCUGUGCUGGAACUAGAGU